GAAGAACUAGCGCUUGUUUUGCUUAGAGCCAAGCCAUCCUUGAAACAGGAGCUUGAAGUUUGGUUAUGUAAUAUAAGAUAGUCCAACACAUGUAAAUAUUUUCUUUUAUCAUGUAUAAAGAAAAAGUCAGUAGGGGCCUCCCCUGCUAUUUUCCUCAAAGGCUUAAACUAGCACUAACCAAGGCCUAUGCCUUAUGCUAAUUGCCUUAAUCUUCUCUUUAGCACUUUGGUGGAUAGAGCACUUGUGUGUACGUGAGAACCAAGCCUAUAGCUUCUCCAACCUCUAACACCCUUGAAAUGGCUGGGCAAUGGGGUAUAUAUAGAGCCAACCCCAAAAACUAGUUGUUGCUCCAAUGGUUACCAAAAAUAGUGAUCAUCGACUUAUACUAUGGCCCUUCAUAGCCAUCACCAUAUCAAUAUGUGGUCACCAAUUUAUAAGAACUUCCAGAGCCGAAUUUGACCCGAUGCCAAGCUGACCGAUCACACCGAUUCAUACUAUGAUUGCAACAGUGAUCACCGUAUCAUUGUGUGCAAGGAUAUGAACUUCUAGAGCUGAAUUUGAGUCGAUGCUGAGCCGAGCCAAUCACACCAAUUCAUACCAUGAUUGCGAUUGUGAUCACCGUAUCAUCCUAUGAUGCGUGUUGACUUCAGACCUUGUCAAUCACCGAUUCAUACUAUGCCCCCUUCAUGGCCAUCACCG
Molecule: long non-coding RNA, 699 nt
Filed under: Setaria viridis
Lineage: Eukaryota; Viridiplantae; Streptophyta; Magnoliopsida; Poales; Poaceae
Description: long non-coding RNA (SVIR_LNC007949)
Source: RNAcentral